This 468-nucleotide ribosomal RNA is filed under the name uncultured bacterium. Its description in RNAcentral is "partial 16S ribosomal RNA". It matches the Rfam family "Bacterial small subunit ribosomal RNA", at positions 28 to 507 of the family's 1533-position model. The record is from RNAcentral.
GACGAACGCUGGCGGCGCGCCUAACACAUGCAAGUCGAACGGAGCUGAGAGAAGCUUGCUUUUCUUAGCUUAGUGGCGAACGGGUGAGUAACGCGUGAGUAACCUGCCCUGGAGUGGGGGACAACAGUUGGAAACGACUGCUAAUACCGCAUAAGCCCACGAUCCGGCAUCGGAUUGAGGGAAAAGGAUUUAUUCGCUUCAGGAUGGACUCGCGUCCAAUUAGCUAGUUGGUGAGGUAACGGCCCACCAAGGCGACGAUUGGUAGCCGGACUGAGAGGUUGCCCGGCCACAUUGGGACUGAGACACGGCCCAGACUCCUACGGGAGGCAGCAGUGGGGGAUAUUGCACAAUGGGGGAAACCCUGAUGCAGCGACGCCGCGUGGAGGAAGAAGGUUUUCGGAUUGUAAACUCCUGUCGUUAGGGACGAUAAUGACGGUACCUAACAAGAAAGCACCGGCUAACUACGUG